CGUAGCGGAAUUAUUCGGACAAUGGGUGAGAGCCUGAUCCAGCCAUCCCGCGUGAAGGACGACGGCCCUAUGGGUUGUAAACUUCUUUUGUACAGGGAUAAACCUUUCCACGUGUGGAAAGCUGAAGGUACUGUACGAAUAAGCACCGGCUAACUCCGUGCCAGCAGCCGCGGUAAUACGGAGGGUGCAAGCGUUAUCCGGAUUUAUUGGGUUUAAAGGGUCCGUAGGCGGAUCCGUAAGUCAGUGGUGAAAUCUCAUAGCUUAACUAUGAAACUGCCAUUGAUACUGCGGGUCUUGAGUAAGGUAGAAGUAGCUGGAAUAAGUAGUGUAGCGGUGAAAUGCAUAGAUAUUACUUAGAACACCAAUUGCGAAGGCAGGUUACUAUGUCUUAACUGACGCUGAUGGACGAAAGCGUGGGGAGCGAACAGGAUUAGAACCCCGGGUAGA
RNAcentral lists this ribosomal RNA (447 nucleotides) under uncultured Chryseobacterium sp. Its description in RNAcentral is "bacterial SSU rRNA". It matches the Rfam family "Bacterial small subunit ribosomal RNA", at positions 350 to 794 of the family's 1533-position model. The record is from RNAcentral. Lineage: Bacteria; Pseudomonadati; Bacteroidota; Flavobacteriia; Flavobacteriales; Weeksellaceae.